This 582-nucleotide ribosomal RNA is filed under the name Triticum aestivum (bread wheat). Its description in RNAcentral is "partial small subunit ribosomal RNA". Lineage: Eukaryota; Viridiplantae; Streptophyta; Magnoliopsida; Poales; Poaceae. The record is from RNAcentral.
AUGCUACAGGUCUUCUCUUUGCGCUUGGCAAGCGAUGAAUCCUAUCCCGUUAGUGUUUAUGGAAUUUUCGCUGUUAGAGAUGUUCUGGAACCACGGCGGAAUCUUAUAUUUAACCGUCGGAGAGAGGAUGCUGUCACAAUUGAGCAGGAUUUUUUCACCUUACCUCUUUGUAGCCCCUGUCGAGGGAUGUAUGCACCGGAUCAGGCAUUACUGGAAGUUGAUCUAUGGGUGAAGAAGGAGGGAGAUGGAUCGCCCGACGAACAGUUGCUCUCUGCGUAUGUUGAGAUUUAUUUCCAUUCACAUUUUGAUGAGAUGCGAACAGGACGGAUUCCCGGUGACAGUUGCAGCUUGGAGAUAGACUUCAUGUUCCUUUCACUGAGUGUUGUGGCUGUGAUACAAAUCUUUGCAAAGGUUGGCCAUCCUCAUCAUUUGAGAUUUACCGCUUUCAGCAGUGGCUUUGAUCAUGAGAUUGUGUUGUUUGGUGACAAAUUCGUUGGGAGCGGGAGCCUAAACCAGCAUGUCGUCGCCGUGAGAGAGAAGGGGAAAUUGGAUGUUCGCUUACAAGUGGAGAAAAUGGUGUUU